RNAcentral lists this ribosomal RNA (253 nucleotides) under uncultured bacterium. RNAcentral describes it as "partial 16S ribosomal RNA". It matches the Rfam family "Bacterial small subunit ribosomal RNA", at positions 524 to 776 of the family's 1533-position model. The record is from RNAcentral.
UACAGAGGGUGCAAGCGUUAAUCGGAAUUACUGGGCGUAAAGGGCGCGUAGGCGGUUUGAUAAGUGAGAUGUGAAAGCCCCAGGCUUAACCUGGGAAUUGCAUCUUAUACUGUUAGGCUAGAGUACUGUAGAGGGUGGUGGAAUUUCCGGUGUAGCGGUGAAAUGCGUAGAGAUCGGAAGGAACACCAGUGGCGAAGGCGACCACCUGGACAGAUACUGACGCUGAGGCGCGAGAGCGUGGGGAGCAAACAGG